GAUGAACGCUGGCGGCGUGCCUAAUACAUGCAAGUCGAGCGAACGGACGAGAAGCUUGCUUCUCUGAUGUUAGCGGCGGACGGGUGAGUAACACGUGGAUAACCUACCUAUAAGACUGGGAUAACUUCGGGAAACCGGAGCUAAUACCGGAUAAUAUUAUGAACCGCAUGGUUCAAAAGUGAAAGACGGUCUUGCUGUCACUUAUAGAUGGAUCCGCGCUGCAUUAGCUAGUUGGUAAGGUAACGGCUUACCAAGGCAACGAUGCAUAGCCGACCUGAGAGGGUGAUCGGCCACACUGGAACUGAGACACGGUCCAGACUCCUACGGGAGGCAGCAGUAGGGAAUCUUCCGCAAUGGGCGAAAGCCUGACGGAGCAACGCCGCGUGAGUGAUGAAGGUCUUCGGAUCGUAAAACUCUGUUAUUAGGGAAGAACAUAUGUGUAAGUAACUGUGCACAUCUUGACGGUACCUAAUCAGAAAGCCGCGGCUAACUACGUG
RNAcentral lists this ribosomal RNA (497 nucleotides) under uncultured bacterium. RNAcentral describes it as "partial 16S ribosomal RNA". It matches the Rfam family "Bacterial small subunit ribosomal RNA", at positions 28 to 507 of the family's 1533-position model. The record is from RNAcentral.